This is a long non-coding RNA of Branchiostoma belcheri (Belcher's lancelet), 526 nucleotides long. RefSeq lists it as uncharacterized. The transcript is spliced from 3 exons. NCBI's taxonomy places the organism in Eukaryota, Metazoa, Chordata, Leptocardii, Amphioxiformes, Branchiostomatidae. The record is from RefSeq and is a predicted model, not a curated record.
UUUAAUUGUUUUUAUCAUUUAGGUUGGCGUCUGCGUGGCUUGAUAAGUUCGUGCAUGAUAAAUAUCGACUUUCCUACAUCAAGAAACUCCACACAUUGAUGAAGGCGGGCUAUCAAAGUGAAGAGAAAAGUGAAGAGGAAGUGACGUUCAGAACUUUCCUUCAUUGCAUUCAACAGCAAAAAUGGGACAACCCUCAUUGGACAUCAGUCUUUAGACUCUGCCAACCCUGUCAGGUUGGCUAUGACUUUGUAGCUCACACAAAUAGCAUUGCUGCUGAUAUUUCACUACUUUUAAAAAAAAUCGGAAUCACGUCUGAGGAAUAUGCACUUCCGCAACAACGGACUACACGGGGGAACAGUGCGAUAGCAAGGAUGUAUCGACAAGUUCCUGUGAAGGAACUACUACAUUUGAGGGACAUUUACCGACAGGACUUUGAUAUGUUUGGAUACUCUUUUGAGCAGGACCUUUAUAAGAUAAAAAUGGUUCGUUUAAAAAAUGAUUUUAAAAAUCGAACUGCUGUCUGAUA